GCUGACUGUGCCCAGCCCUGCAGAAAGGCAUCGGGCACCUGGUACCUGUGCAGGCUUUGGCAGAGCAAGGGUUCCAGAACCCGAGCCCAGGCGGCAGCCUGCCCCUGGCCCAGCGGAAGGAAGUCCACGUCCCGCUCACUCGGCAGUUCUGGCAGUCCGGUCCCGAAGCCACCCACAGCGAUGAUGUUUUUGUCUGCGAGCUGGACUUUGAUGGACAGCCUGCACUGAGCACAGAAGGUUCCCAUUUUCCGUGGGGUGGGCAGGCGGGACAGGAAGUGGGGAGGCGCUGGGAGGGUAAGAUCCAGAGCCUGUGGCCAGCAGGCGAGCCCAGAAGGUGCCAGAAACCCGAGGUGGAUGCACAAGUGGCCAAUGAAGGACAAGGGGACCUUGUUUAAGACCCAGGGCCUUGGCAUCUCUGCCGAAAAGGGCUGUGAGGCCCAGGCCUGGGAAGUAGCCCAGGCUGCUGAGCAGAGAUGUGCGAGUCCGCCAUGCCCUGCUCAGAGCUGCGGCUCGCAUUUGGAGGAGAGUUGCGUUAUGGAUGCCAGGAGAGGCCAGUCUGGGGCCGGGCGCCCUGUCUAAGUCAAUUCUGUGGCUCCGUGGCCAGUCUCCUGCUUGCCCCUCAUCUCUGUCCCCACUCUACUUUUGGCCCUUUUCCCUGGAUCGUCACCCUUGGGACCUUGUGGAGCAGGGCUGGGACCCACGUGGACAUCCACAGCAGUAGGGGGCAGCUCCUGCCCACGUCUCUGCAGCCUGUCUUGGAAGAUGCUGUGGAAACAGCACUAACAACCCUCAGCCUGGGGGGCUCUCGUGGGGACUUGCUGAGGCUUCCUAGUAGCAGGGAAAUGUGUGCUCUGCCGGCAGCCAAUGUAAAACCGCUGGAGGGCAGACAGCUGACCCCAGCUGCCCCACCCCACAGGCCACCAGGGCACUUGACCCAGGGGCUCAGAAGGCCCUGAGAGAGCCCUGGGUUUGGAAGCAAGUCUCAAGUCCCAGAGCUGCAGGGUGUGAUUUCAUGGUGUAACUUUGCUGGUGUUUUCUAGGAUUAUCAUUAGAGUUAUCCCCCAGUGUCGUGGGGAAUUGGUUCCAGGACCCUCUACAGAUACCAAACUCUGAGGAUGCCCCCGUCCCUUGCAUAGAACCUACUACAUACAUCUUCCCAUAUACUUUAAAUUGUCUCUAGAGACUUGUAAUGCUUCUUAUAAUGUAAAUGCUCUGUCAUGCUCUAUUGUUUAGGGACUACUGACAAGAAAAAGAAGUUCCUA
This is a non-coding RNA of Ictidomys tridecemlineatus (thirteen-lined ground squirrel), 1262 nucleotides long. The record is from RefSeq and is a predicted model, not a curated record. NCBI's taxonomy places the organism in Eukaryota, Metazoa, Chordata, Mammalia, Rodentia, Sciuridae.